CGGCGUGCCUAAUACAUGCAAGUCGAACGGUCUUUCUAUGGAAGCUUGCUUCCACUGAGAAGAUAGUGGCGAACGGGUGAGUAACACGUGGGUAACCUGCCCAUAAGAGGGGGGAUAACAUCCGGAAACGGGUGCUAAUACCGCAUAGUUUUCUUGAUUGCAUGAUUGAGAAAGGAAAGACGGCCUUUGUGCUGUCGCCUAUGGAUGGACCCGCGGCGUAUUAGUUAGUUGGUGAGGUAACGGCUCACCAAGACGAUGAUACGUAGCCGACCUGAGAGGGUGAUCGGCCACAUUGGGACUGAGACACGGCCCAAACUCCUACGGGAGGCAGCAGUAGGGAAUCUUCCGCAAUGGACGAAAGUCUGACGGAGCAACGCCGCGUGAGUGAAGAAAGGUUUUCGGAUCGUAAAACUCUGUUGUCAGAGAAGAACAAGUUGGAGAGUAACUGCUCCAGCCUUGACGGUAUCUGACCAGAAAGCCACGGCUAACUACGUGCCAGCAGCCGC
RNAcentral lists this ribosomal RNA (506 nucleotides) under uncultured bacterium. RNAcentral describes it as "bacterial SSU rRNA". It matches the Rfam family "Bacterial small subunit ribosomal RNA", at positions 40 to 518 of the family's 1533-position model. The record is from RNAcentral.